UGGGGAAUAUGGCACAAUGGGGGAAACCCUGAUGCAGCGACGCCGCGUGAACGAAGAAGGUAUUCGUAUCGUAAAGUUCUGUCCUAUGGGAAGAUAAUGACAGUACCAUAGAAGAAAGCUCCGGCUAAAUACGUGCCAGCAGCCGCGGUAAUACGUAUGGAGCGAGCGUUGGCCGGAAUUAUUGGGCGUAAAGGGUACGCAGGCGGUUUAAUAAGUCGAAUGUUAAAGAUCGGGGCUCAACCCCGCAAAGCAUUGGAAACUGAUAAACUUGAGUAGUGCAGAGGAAAGUGGAAUUCCUAGUGUAGUGGUGAAAUACGUAGAUAUUAGGAGGAAUACCAGUAGCGAAGGCGACUUUCUGGACACAAACUGACGCUGAGGUACGAAAGCGUGGGGAGCAAACAGG
Molecule: ribosomal RNA, 403 nt
Filed under: bacterium
Lineage: Bacteria
Description: partial 16S ribosomal RNA
Rfam family: Bacterial small subunit ribosomal RNA
Source: RNAcentral